CACGUCACUGGCGGUACAGUUCCUGGAGCUGGGCAGUCUUCUCAGAGUGGAACCUGGUAAUGGCGACCUCUCGGCUAGUUCUUGUGUGUUGCGGGCUGGAAAGGGGUAGCUGAUAAACUCCCACCCAGCACAGUAUUUAUGUCGGUCAAAAAUAGAAAAGAAUGUCCGGGCGCGGCCGGGGUGGGAGGAUCCCUUCAGGCCGAGAGCAGCCUAGCAAUAUGGCGCAACCCCAUCUCUGUAGUCCAACCUCAGCCUCCCACCUACUUGAACACCAACGUUCAAAGCUCCAGUGAGCUAUGAUCCCACCACAGCACUCCUGCCUGCGAGACUGAGAUGAUGAUUAUUCUCCAUCUUCUAAGAGACCAAAGACCAACGAGCCACCAGUUCCAGAACCUGCCAAUGUUGGGCAACAGAAAGUGAGGGAGUUCAACUCUGAUCUUUGUCUCCUUGGAGGCCCUCACAAUCCAGUGGAGGAAGUGAAACUCAUCUGCCUCUGUCCCUCUGGGUGCGCCUCAUGCCAGGUGCAUCUGUGGACAUGCGCCAUGCUACUGGGCUUCCAAAGUUGGAGAAAGUUGCCAGGCUCAGUUUUCAGAGAAAUGGAAUAAUCAUAUCGCUGAUCUAUGUAAAUAAGUUGAAGAAUUGUCUGAAAGAAAAUACGGUAUGUUUAAAUUGGAAAAGUCCUGUGAUACUUUGUUCAUAAGCAUUUACACAAUGGAGUUAUUGUUUAUCAUGGGGGUACUGUGGACAAGCCCAGGGCUCCUGGUGAAUCCUGCCAUCCUUACACGUCUCUCCUUGUAAGUUGCUUUGUAGUUUCUGUCUAAAUAUUAGAAACAUUCUUUGUUUCUAGAUUACUGCAAAGCUGAGCAAAAGUUGUAUUUCUUUAAUUGUCGUUAGCAUUUCUUUUAAACUUUCAGCAUGGAUAUUGGGG
This 928-nucleotide long non-coding RNA is filed under the name Piliocolobus tephrosceles (Ugandan red Colobus). Its description in RNAcentral is "lncRNA (ENSPTEG00000009824.1)". The record is from RNAcentral. Lineage: Eukaryota; Metazoa; Chordata; Mammalia; Primates; Cercopithecidae.